GAUAUGAAAAACCAUCGUUGUUAUUCAACUACAGAAAC
RNAcentral lists this transfer RNA (38 nucleotides) under Epinephelus akaara (Hong Kong grouper). RNAcentral's name for it is "partial tRNA-Glu". Lineage: Eukaryota; Metazoa; Chordata; Actinopteri; Perciformes; Serranidae. The record is from RNAcentral.